AUUGAACGCUGGCGGCAUGCUUUACACAUGCAAGUCGAACGGUAACAGGCCUUCGGGUGCUGACGAGUGGCGCACGGGUGAGUAAUGCAUCGGAACGUACCCAGAGGUGGGGGAUAACGCAGCGAAAGCUGUGCUAAUACCGCAUGUGAUCUGAGGAUGAAAGCGGGGGACCGAGCAGCAAUGUUUGGCCUCGCGCCUUUGGAGCGGCCGAUGUCGGAUUAGCUAGUUGGUGGGGUAAAGGCCUACCAAGGCGACGAUCCGUAGCUGGUCUGGGAGGACGACCAGCCACACUGGGACUGAGACACGGCCCAGACUCCUACGGGAGGCAGCAGUGGGGAAUUUUGGACAAUGGGCGCAAGCCUGAUCCAGCAAUGCCGCGUGCGGGAAGAAGGCCUUCGGGUUGUAAACCGCUUUUGGCAGGAACGAAACGGUGUCCGCUAAUACCGGGCGCUAAUGACGGUACCUGCAGAAUAAGCACCGGCUAACUACGUG
RNAcentral lists this ribosomal RNA (492 nucleotides) under uncultured bacterium. RNAcentral's name for it is "partial 16S ribosomal RNA". It matches the Rfam family "Bacterial small subunit ribosomal RNA", at positions 29 to 507 of the family's 1533-position model. The record is from RNAcentral.